This 253-nucleotide ribosomal RNA is filed under the name uncultured bacterium. RNAcentral describes it as "partial 16S ribosomal RNA". It matches the Rfam family "Bacterial small subunit ribosomal RNA", at positions 524 to 776 of the family's 1533-position model. The record is from RNAcentral.
GACAGAGGGUGCAAACGUUGUUCGGAAUUACUGGGCGUAAAGCGAGUGUAGGCGGUUUGGUAAGUCGGAUGUGAAAGCCCCGGGCUCAACCCGGGAAGUGCACUCGGUACUGCCAAGCUAGAGUAUCGGAGAGGUUGGUGGAAUUCUCGGUGUAGAGGUGAAAUUCGUAGAUAUCGAGAGGAACACCGGUGGCGAAGGCGGCCAACUGGACGAAUACUGACGCUGAGACUCGAAAGCGUGGGGAGCAAACAGG